RNAcentral lists this ribosomal RNA (423 nucleotides) under uncultured bacterium. RNAcentral describes it as "bacterial SSU rRNA". It matches the Rfam family "Bacterial small subunit ribosomal RNA", at positions 358 to 773 of the family's 1533-position model. The record is from RNAcentral.
GGAAUAUUGCGCAAUGGGCGAAGGCCUGACGCGGCAACGCCGCGUGGAGGAUGAAGGUUUUCGGACUGUAAACUCCUGUCAGAGGGGAAGAAAAGAUAUCGGUUAAUAUCCGGUAUCCUUGACGGUACCUUCAGAGGAAGCCCCGGCUCACUCCGUGCCAGCAGCCGCUGUGAUACGGAGGGGGCUAGCGUUAUUCGGAAUUAUUGGGCGUAAAGGGCGCGUAGGUGGCCUGAUAUGUCAAAGGUGAAAUCCCUCGGCUCAACCGAGGAACUGCCUUUGAAACUGUCAGGCUUGAGGCCGGGAGGGGGUAGCGGAAUUCCCAGUGUAGCGGUGAAAUGCGUAGAUAUUGGGAGGAACACCGGUGGCGAAGGCGGCUACCUGGACCGGUUCUGACACUGAGGCGCGAAAGCGUGGGGAGCAAAC